AUUGAACGCUGGCGGCAGGCCUAACACAUGCAAGUCGAACGGUAACAGGGAUCAGCUUGCUGAUUCGCUGACGAGUGGCGGACGGGUGAGUAAUGUCUGGGAAACUGCCUGAUGGAGGGGGAUAACUACUGGAAACGGUAGCUAAUACCGCAUAACGUCGCAAGACCAAAGAGGGGGACCUUCGGGCCUCUUGCCAUCGGAUGUGCCCAGAUGGGAUUAGCUAGUAGGUGGGGUAACGGCUCACCUAGGCGACGAUCCCUAGCUGGUCUGAGAGGAUGACCAGCCACACUGGAACUGAGACACGGUCCAGACUCCUACGGGAGGCUGCAGUGGGGAAUAUUGCACAAUGGGCGCAAGCCUGAUGCAGCCAUGCCGCGUGUAUGAAGAAGGCCUUCGGGUUGUAAAGUACUUUCAGCGGGGAGGAAGGGAGUAAAGUUAAUACCUUUGCUCAUUGACGUUACCCGCAGAAGAAGCACCGGCUAACUCCGUG
Molecule: ribosomal RNA, 490 nt
Filed under: uncultured bacterium
Lineage: Bacteria
Description: partial 16S ribosomal RNA
Rfam family: Bacterial small subunit ribosomal RNA
Source: RNAcentral